This is a long non-coding RNA of Panicum virgatum (switchgrass), 643 nucleotides long. RefSeq lists it as uncharacterized. The record is from RefSeq and is a predicted model, not a curated record. The transcript is spliced from 5 exons. Lineage: Eukaryota; Viridiplantae; Streptophyta; Magnoliopsida; Poales; Poaceae.
UGCAGGCAACAAAGCCUGAAAACACCAGGGUCGAUGGUCAUGUGGCUGAUCACAGCCGGGACAUCGUGGUCGUCGUCAUGGCAUUGGUGCAUUAGCUGGGUGUAGGAGAGGUUGCCGGGGAGCAUCUUCUAAUGUACAUCCUGUCCAGGCAGGUGAUGCCACUGCAGGUUUCAUGACCAUGGAGAUGAGGCUGCCGAACAACGGUUGUACAAAGGGCAUACACAGACGAGCUCUGCAAAAAAAGAGGGAUACAGAUGGAUACGGAUGAUCGGAUCGAUCCUUCUGCGACAACCAUUCUGACCCUGCUGGAGGCGAUAGCUAGACCGCAAUCAACAUCUCAUGAAUCCAACCUCUGCUGGUGCUACUGCUAACCUGACCUCUGCCUGUGGAACACCCUCUAUACAAGUCUUGAGCUCCAGGACCAUCUUCUUGCGAAACUUCCAUGACCAUAGGUUAGGUUCCUGUCUGCAACCCUGCACCUUUGAAUAUCAUCAGUCUAUUCUUCAGCUCCAACAUUUUGUUAUGGCUUUUCCAUGAGAUGGGUCCUGCAAACUGCAUUAUCCUUGGUAUAUUAUACCAGGGUGUUUGGUAGAAACCUUACUUUGCUAGCAUAUAAUUGAAGGUUCAUCUUGUCACAGAUGGG